Molecule: ribosomal RNA, 584 nt
Filed under: Janibacter melonis
Lineage: Bacteria; Bacillati; Actinomycetota; Actinomycetes; Micrococcales; Intrasporangiaceae
Description: bacterial SSU rRNA
Rfam family: Bacterial small subunit ribosomal RNA
Source: RNAcentral
CACGAGUUCCGUGCCGCAGCUAACGCAUUAAGCGCCCCGCCUGGGGAGUACGGCCGCAAGGCUAAAACUCAAAGGAAUUGACGGGGGCCCGCACAAGCGGCGGAGCAUGCGGAUUAAUUCGAUGCAACGCGAAGAACCUUACCAAGGCUUGACAUAUACCGGAAACAUCCAGAGAUGGGUGCCCCUUUUGGUCGGUAUACAGGUGGUGCAUGGUUGUCGUCAGCUCGUGUCGUGAGAUGUUGGGUUAAGUCCCGCAACGAGCGCAACCCUCGUUCUAUGUUGCCAGCACGUAAAGGUGGGGACUCAUAGGAGACUGCCGGGGUCAACUCGGAGGAAGGUGGGGAUGACGUCAAAUCAUCAUGCCCCUUAUGUCUUGGGCUUCACGCAUGCUACAAUGGCCGGUACAAAGGGGUGCGAUACCGCAAGGUGGAGCGAAUCCCAAAAAACCGGUCUCAGUUCGGAUUGGGGUCUGCAACUCGACCCCAUGAAGUCGGAGUCGCUAGUAAUCGCAGAUCAGCAACGCUGCGGUGAAUACGUUCCCGGGCCUUGUACACACCGCCCGUCAAGUCACGAAAGUCGGUAAC